CUCCACUCUAUCUCUCUCAAUCUAGUAGAAACUAGAAGAUCUAUUUCUACCUUACAUUGGUUGCUAAGCCUAAAAAGAAAUAUUAUUUAGAGAAGAGGUUUUCCUUCGAGGGCACCCCUCAAUCUCUAUGAUAAUUUCCUGUCUCCUCCAGGGCCAGAGGGGGUCUCCUUAUAUAGUCCUCCCCUUCUAUGCAUUUUUAGGUCGAUAGGCGAGGUGGUACUAUGUUAUUCUGGAUCCAAUAGGUCGGUGGAACGUCGUGUGCGAAGAGAGUCCUGUUUGGACCCGACAGGUGGGCGGGCGCCCUGGGCCUGGCCCCGUUUCGCCUCCGCUUCGGUCUCGUGGCUUCUGGAGUCUUCUAGAUGGUAGAAAAUUGCGCGGUGGGUUGAUAUCUCUAUGUAAUCCCGACAUGUGGGCCUUUCUUUCUUAUUUCUUGAUAACCCCCUGCAGAAAUAGACAAACACCAAAACUCGUGGAAUUCUGUCAGAUAAAACCCUAAGUCUAGAUGUUGAUUUCAUUUGGAUCCUUUUCUUUGUUUAUUUGAUAAUUAAAUUUGAUACUUAAGGACCGUCAACAAACUCCCCCAAGCUUACCUCUUGCUCGUCCCUGAGCAAGGAUAGACUCGGCAAUGGAUCAUAAAUUGUUGCAAUAUUUUUUAAAAUUGAUGUACACAUGCUUUUUAAAUAAGAUCUCAUCUCUGAGUUAGAGUAAACUGUCAAGACUUAAAACUUACUUACUUUACCUUUCACCAUGGGACUUGUAACUGUCACUUCUGUCUUGAGAGGUUAAAAGAUAGAACAGUCUAGUCAAGUGCCAUGUCUCUUAUUCUUGAUCAGCUAUAGCUCUGGGGUUUUUGCAGAUUUUCAAAUAAAACUCAGAGAUUCCUUAUAUGACUCUCUCAGAUCUCUCUUUUGUGGUAUUUCUGGAUCCUUACCAAGGCAGUAAUGGUAUAUGCCUUCUCUCAAAGUAUGUGGUAUUUUUGGUUUGAGGCAUAGUGAUAUUGCCUUCUCUCUCACCCUACUCUAAUAAGGUUCUGAUAUCUGGAGCUCAUAGGUGGGAGACAGCUAAUACAUACUUACAAGACAUUUAUUGCAUAGUCAAACCAUGGAUCCAGAGAAACAAGUCAAUAAGUCAAAUCAAGAUGUGCAUGUGUGGUGAAUGAAUGGUGUAUGGUGAUGAUGAUGAUAAUAAUGGUGAAAGUCUAAUUCUACUUUUGCUCUUUUGAGGGGAUACAUACCUUUCUUGCACUUUGAACCUUUUUAGGGAGAAUGAGAUGCUCUAUAUUUUCUUUUUCUUUCCUCUCAGGUGGGUAUCUUGUACCCCUAAUUCUACUGUCGGACACUUGUCCAUUUUUACCUCUCGUCUCACUUUUUAUUUUCUUUCGAGGUUCCGGGCACUUGCCCCUUUUUAUUUCCUCGCAUUUUUCCUAUUUUUCUUCUUUCUUUUUUUUUCUUUUCUUUCUUUUUUUUCAGAGCAUUCAUCUCUUGAGAUAAUAUAGCAAGUGGUAGUAACAAGAUAACUUGAGCAUUUAUUUCACAAGGGGAAACAGAAAUAUUUUUGGUUAUUCUCUCCUGGAUUAGGAGUAGAAUAUUUUUGGGUGAUUCUGAAGAUGGAAAUGGAUGGAUAUAUGUGGAUGGUACUUCCGGAGUGGAAGUAGCAUAUAUGAGUGAAUGUGCAUGUGAAUCUUGAUUUAACCACAUGACAAGCUCCUAAGGGUCUACACAGCUUGACCACACUCAAUGCUCAUAAGCAGUAAAUAGUAAAUGUGUGGCUCAAAGUCUAGCAAGCAUGUAUAUAUGGUUGUGGUAGGAAUUUAAACUCUCAUCAUACAGGAACUCAUUAUGCAACAUUUUAAAGAUUUUCAAAGAUAAAAUUCUCCAGAAUUCUAGCAUCUCUAGGAACAGAUAAACAGCAGCUCAACCUUCCCAUAUCGUAUCCGUUAACAACUUAGACUUCAGAUCAAGUUUUCAUCCCACAAGUUUAGGUCUAGAGCAAGCCUUAAAUUAUAACAGUUAUAUCUAAACUUGAGAGAGAACUUCAAAUUUGCAAAUUAGGCAGAGCAACUAUUCAUCAUAUCCAUGCUUAAGUUUUAUUAGAUACAGAUUAGCAUAGCCACUUUAUUUAUUUAUUAAACACACUAAGCAAAAUAUAUAUAAGCAUAAAAUCUUUAUUUGGUUUUUCAUAGUUAUGUGUAUUUAUAUUCUAAUAUAGUAUAAGUAUAAAGAUAGAUAGAAAUACUUAUCGAGAUAAAUGGGGAUGCUCUCCCCCAAGCUGAAUUUUGACGUAAUUUCUCUUGAUGUAGCUAGCAGGUGGCAGAGGUGUGUUUGAAAGUCAGCAGCAUUCUGACAGCGAUUAGAAUGUCCUCCGUCUGCUAGUCUUCUUGAUUCUUAAAUUCUGUGGAGCUCAAAUAGACAACAAAGCUUGUGGAACUGAUUAAGUGUUAGCAUAAAUAUCUAGCCUCUAUCAUGUUGAGACUCCUUAAUAAAUAUUACUCCCUGUUUUUAUAUUUUUGUUUUUAUAAAGCAGAAAAAUAUUUAUUUUAUUUUUAUGCCACCACAGUGAAUGUACUUAUGGGUUUUAUGCCACUUGUCUACUCACAUGGGGCUUACAGUUUUUUUCACAGUUUUAUUUUCUUUCUAGGAUAAUACGAACAUGAUUAACUAAGUAAACUAUUUGAAAUAAUUAAAAGGGAAAGGAUAACUACCAAGUUUACCUCUUGGUAAGGCGUUCGGUGUUUUUAAGUCCUCCGAACGGGACUCUCCGUUUUCUCAGUCGUCCUGGGAUUCGCUGGAUGACGUAGUCGGUGAUUCCGGUGGCGCCUCCUUUUCGUGUAUAAUUAUCAUCUCUUUCCACACCUGACUCGGUGCUACGGUCACCUCAGGACAGUUCUGUUCAAGCCGUAUGUGUUCAGACCUUAUCACUUCUUCUUCGUAGUCUACCCAUCCGUCCUUGAUGAUUUGCCUCCUCUGGUUGCGGUUGCGUUGUCUUCUUCUUGUCCUGACCUGCUUAGAAUCUUCAACUAUAUAAUCAUUAAAGUAGUGGCGUACCUUUCUCAGAGGGGAAGCGCAUGUGGACUUCUCCGGUUCCAAUAUAGAUAAUGGCUUUGAUAGUGUUUAGGAACGGUCUUCCAAGGAUGGUGGAUGGAUCAUACUUGUCUUCUCCCAUGUCAAUAACUUGAAAGUCAUCUAUAGCUGAAUGUAUAUUGGUUGUAGGGGCAUGGUUUCAUGCAAGAGCUGAUAAGUGACUACGACCAUUAUGUUGACGUCAGAUCCGGUGUCGUAGAGUGUCUUCUGAAAAGAGUAUCUGUUGAUUGUGCACUCAAUGCUUAGAACACCAGGGUCGUCCUUCUUGAUCAAGAAAGGUGACUUGAGUCAACGAUCUUGACCUCCUUGAACUGCAGUGACCAUCUUAGCUGACUCGGUCCACAUUUGCUUGUUCCUGUUUCUCCUGUUGGUCCUCUUCCUUGGUUCAUGUCGGGGUGGCUCUGAAGUUUCUAGUCUUGUUCUUGAAGGAAAAUCUCCUUCUUUCCCUUGAUGUAGAGACUGAUCUUGGCAGCAUUAGCGUAGAUGACAGCUCUAGUGUUUAGGAAUGGCCUCCCUAAGAUGAUGGGUGCCCUCUCCUCAGUACCAGUCUCUAUCACCACGAAGUCUGCUAGAGCGUACAAGGUACCAACUCGGACGCAGAGGUUCUUCAAUAUUUUCUUUGGGAAACUGAGUGUCCGAUCUGCAACCCUGGGCAUAAUGUUGACGCUGGAGCCAAAGUUGCAGAGUGCUUCUGGGAAGUCCACCAUGCCGAUGGAGAUCGGGAUGACGGGGCGUCCUAGAUCACCUCUCUGAGUAAUUAGGCCUCUGUUGAUUCCAACCUUGAUUUUGUUGAGGACGGUUGUAGUAAUAGUUGUUAUUGUUGUUGAUGUAGUUCACGUCCUCAAGCAUCUGAGGGCAGUGAUUGCCUGAGCGUCCAGUAUCUCUAGUGUGUUUGUGCUCGUAGAUCCUAGUUCUUCACUUGGUGGAAUCUGGGAGUUGUAAAACUCCUUCAUAUUAUGCUCGAAGUGUUCCUGCUCAUAGAGACAAGGUAGAGAUCAAGUGCAUGGGCCCUGUUGGUGGAAAACACCAACAGAACCAAAAGUGUAUUUGUUCUUCUCUAACCUUAAGCACAGUGAGCAAGACAAAGUUGAUGGAUCAUGAGUGUAGCAUUUAUCAGAUCGGAUGGCUCAACCUAAUGGAAAGAUAAUCUAUCUAUAUUUAUGUUUUGUUUAUAUCUUCCAAAGAUUGAAUGUGCAAUAUUUUAGCUUAUAUGAUUAGGAGUGUGGGAUCACGAAGGUAGUACUAAGAACAAAGAUUAAAGGACUAAACAUGUUGAAUUAAUUGAGUUGGUUAAUUUGGAGUUACAGAUCAUACAUGUUUGUCUCUUUAUUUUAUGUGAACGCUAGAACCAAGGAGAAGCUUAUAAAAGAGAUAGUCAAGUACCUUAAGAUGUUAUUGAAGAGUGAUGGUAUAGUAUCACCUUGUGGAAGCUUUCCUUUCUUAGUGGUUGUGCAUCGUGUUUGUGGCACCCUCCAUGAAUCAUCUCUUAUGAGCUACGUCUUUCUUGUGCAAAUUGUUAAACUUCAUGUGUCACUUUCUUCAUCACCAAUGUGAGUUUAUCUCAGGACUUCCCAGGUUGAUAUUGAAAGUUUUCCUGCAGGGGUUAGUCCAACAAAAUAUCCCAUAUCUACUAUAGUAUACUAUCAGCUCAAAAAUCAACCUAGACACCAUGUCUAAUUUGAUUUAGAAGGGCAUUUUAACCUAAGCACCAUGCUUAAUUUAAAAUCCCUUGGAAGUAAGAUAAUCAUUCCUAAACUAAGCACCGUGCUUAAUUAAGAGAUAAAUGAAACUAUUCCAAACCUAGGCAUAUACUAAAGCAAAUAAAGGUAGCAUGAGAGCAUUUAUAGAGAUCUACUCAAAUGGAGGUGAAGUAGUGCAAUUAGUACUUAACAAAUUGAGCAUCUCUCAAAGGUAGGGACAACCAACGUAGCAACAUGGCAAAGGAUGUUUUUAUGUAAAGUACUCCUCCAAGCUUGAAUUUUGCAAAAUUCAAGUUUGGAUGAAUUUAAUUCAAUGUUGUGUGAUGGUUGGUUGGACAUACCUUGUGCUUGUCAUUCAUCUGAUCUUCUUGCUCCAAUCUUGGAAAGGUUAGUGACAAGAAUACCCGAAGGAAUAUUCCUACAAUUAUCUCAAUAUGCUCAAUACACAAGGCAAUGUUGCAAAUAAUUAGAAGUGCUUGUUUUAGGACAUUAAGCUUGUCCUUGGGAAACCAUCAAUUAACUCAACGAGAUCUGCAAUAUUUAUUAUAGACAUAUGCAUCGACAACCGCCCUUUUAAAGUUUUUAUAAAUAGAAAGGAAGAGAGGGUUGGAGAUCUCAAAUGUGGUAAGGAUGGAGAGACCAAUUGAUUGGGAAGAUGUUGCAUAUGAGCAUGGACUUGGUGAGGUAUUUAUGAAAUAACUUCCAUGCUCACUGUUGUUUCUCUCAUUCUCAAACUCCAAGGAUGAUUCUUCAUGAAUGCUUAAGAUUCCUCUAGGAUUGUCUCUCAAGUUUGUUUUAUCUAUCCAUUCAAUGGUGAUAGCACAUGGAUUUUUAAUGUCCUCUAGCCAUUGAUGUUGCUCUUCUCGAUCCUCCUUCUUAUGCAUGGGAUGUCUAGAGAGAUUCAUAGGAUUAUCGGGAGGUUCAAGAGAAAGAGCAUAGUAGAAACUAUUAAGCUCAAGGAUGGGAUGGAUAGCCGAAUUAUGGGAUUGAAAUAUUUGGAAAUUGGCUAUGGAAACUUCCUUUCCUUGUCUGGGAGGUGACUCCUUCUCUAUCUCUAAGAUUUUUCUAUGAAGACUAGUAUAAGAAGGAUGUCCACAAAUGAAGACAAACCUUCCUUUACUAAUAGAUAAAGAAAGAAGGACUCUACCAAAGUUUAUAUGAUUAAGACCAAUAUGAAAAUAUCUAGGAAAAACAUGGUCUUGUAGGGCUAGGUCUAAACCAGAAUUUAUAGAAAGAUUAAAAGAUUCCCUAGGUGUAGCUAAAAGUGCAUUAUCUUCUUGAUUAAAAGAUAGGACCUCGGCUAUAGAAAAGGGUUGGUUUUGACCUAUUGCAAUCAACUCCGGACACAGAUCAUAAUUAGGGGCAGGACGUGUUGACUCCCAUGGUCUAUGGCUGGUCUCCGAAGGUGCAAAUAAUUUAAUAAUAGGUAUGGAAUUUGAGUUAUCCAUAAAGAUAAAAAGAUAAAAGAAUAAAAAUAUAAAAGUAUAAUACAAGAUAAUAGCAAGAUUCAAAGUUAUCUCAGCAAACCGUCUUUCUCCCCGGCAACGGCGCCAGAAAUGCUUGUUGAUAUUUGGUAACGCAAUAAGGAAAUGAUCCGCAAGCGCACGGAUAUCGGUGAGCAUUUCACCCGGGAGGUUAUCCAGAGUUAUCGUAUUUAUAUUUUUACCACUGGGAGAAAGGGUGCAUCUGACUAACCAAAUCUAUUGCUACUAUCCCUUUAGGCUACAAAGAAUGUCUCUCGAUGUGAGUGAUGUAUAGAGAAGACUGCAACCGUAGUCUCGUCCUAACCUUGGUAAGGAUGAUCUACUGUUCUAUUGGGGAGGCUCACGGAAUCUAGACAACACAAAGGAUGUUCGACCCGCACCUAUAAACCUACCCGUCCUGCUAAUGAGAUGUGAUCUGCAAAGGUAACUCGGAAAUGUCACGUUCCUCGCUACUACCACGGUCCAGCUAGUCAGGGGAUAUCUAUGAGUACCCUAGCCUAAACACCACGUUUACGCUAACAAGUGAUUACUCUAAUACUCAACCGGAAGAGGAUUAAACUAAACUCAUAAACCAAAGAACAAUAAAACAAGAACUUACUAGUAUUAGAAGUCGAAUUACUGAAGAAUCUUAGAAGCAAGCCUCGGGUUAGGAGACUUGAUCCCGUAGGUACAACUCGGAGUAGACACCGACAGGCCGGCCUUCCUCCGAUCCACACCUCCACUCUAUCUCUCUCAAUCUAGUAGAAACUAGAAGAUCUAUUUCUACCUUACAUUGGUUGCUAAGCCUAAAAAGAAAUAUUAUUUAGAGAAGAGAUUUUCCUUCGAGGGCACCCCUCAAUCUCUAUGAUAAUUUCUUGUCUCCUCGAGGGCCAGAGGGGGUCUCCUUAUAUAGUCCUCCCCUUCUAUGCGUUUUUAGGUCGAUAGGCGAGGUGGUACUAUGUUAUUCUGGAUCCAAUAGGUCGGUGGAACGUCGUGUGCGAAGAGAGUCCUGUUUGGACCCGACAGGUGGGCGGGCGCCCUGGGCCUGGCCCCGUUUCGCCUCCGCUUCGGUCUCGUGGCUUAUGGAGUCUUCUAGAUGGUAGAAAAUUGCGCGGUGGGUUGAUAUCUCUAUGUAAUCCCGACAUGUGGGCCUUUCUUUCUUAUUUCCUGAUAACCCCCUGCAGAAAUAGACAAACACCAAAACUCGUGGAAUUCUGUAAGAUAAAACCCUAAGUCUAGAUGUUGAUUUCAUUUGGAUCCUUUUCUUUGUUUAUUUGAUAAUUAAAUUUGAUACUUAAGGACCGUCAACACAAUCGUAGAUAAAUACGGUAUAGGCACCACGCCUACACAAUACUUAUCAUUUACCCACUGUACACAUGGAUAAACGCUAUACGAUCCUAAACAUGUAUAUAAUUCCAAUCUAACUAAGCCAAGCAUAUAACUAUGAUAAACUAAGAACAAUAUAAUUGCAAAUAUAAACAAGUAGAGCAAAGUCAUAAUCAAUAUAUUGAAGUAGAACAAAGUCAUAUUCAUAAUAUUGAAGAACAAAGAUGAACAAUUGAAGAACAAUAGAGGAAUUACCAAGAAUCCUCCUGACAGAUCCGGAAACCAAUCGAAGAUUGACUCCUUCUAGUUCUAAUCCUAUGUAGCUAUGCUAAACUAGAGAUCUAUUGAUGUGGUGGCUCUAGAGCUUGAUCAGAGGCUUCUUCUCCCGAGAUGGAUAAUGAAUUAGGGUUUCUUAGGGAUAGAGGUGCUCUCCUCCAGGGGCUAGGGGGUCUGCUUAUAUAUUCCUUCCAAAUGAAUGUGGGCUGUAGGAUCAAACCGACAUUAAUCGCACAGUUUUCCUUGAUCCUUUAGGUCGGUGGAGCAUGAUCCGCGAGAUUGGUUCUAAUUGGCCCUCUGGCUAGGGCGGGCGCCCAAGGGGGGAGGGCGGGCGCCCUGCCCGAGGGCCCGAUCAGCCUCCCGUUCGUUCCCGUGGCUUCUGGACUCUUCUAGAUGUUAGAUAAUUGUGCGGCACGUUCAUAUCUCUAUGUAAACCCGACGUGUGGGCCUUUCUUCCAUAAUUCCUGAUAACCCCCUGCAGAAAUAGACAAACACCAAAACUCAUGGAAUUCUGUCAGAUAAAACCCUAACUCUGGGUGUCGGUUGCAUUUGGAUCCUUUUGUCUAUUUAUUUGCUGAUUAUAUUUGAUUCUUAAGGAUCGUCAACAAACUCCCCCAAGCUUACCUCUUGCUCGUCCCUGAGCAAGGAUAAUCUCAGUGAUGGUCAGAAGUUGCUGUAAUGCCUUUAAAAGUUGACGGUACACAUGCUUUUAAAUAAGGUCUCAUCUCUGAGUUAGAGUAAACUGUCAAGACUUAAAACUUACUCACUUUAUCUUUCACCAUGAGACUUGUAACCGUCACUUCUGUCUUGAGCAGUUAAAAGAUAGAAUGGUCUAGUCAAGCACCAUGUCUCUUAUUCUUGAUCUGCUAUAGCUCUGGAGUUUUUGCAGAUUUUCAAAUAAAACUCAGAGAUUCCUUUGUAUGACUAUCUCAGAUCUCUCUUUUGUGGUAUUUCUAGAUCCUUACCAAGGCAGUGAUGGUACUUGCCUUCUCUCAAAGUAUGUGGUAUUUGUGGUAUAAAGCAUAAUGACAUUGCCUUCUCUCUCAUCCUACUCUAAUAAGGCUUUGAUAUCUGGGGCUCAUAGGUGGGAGAUAAAGUAUACAUACUUACAAGACAUUUAUUGCAUACUCAAACCAUGGAUCCAAAGAAACAAGUCAAUAAGUCAAAUCAAGAUGUGCAUGUGUGGCGAAUGAAUGGUGUAUGGUGAUGAUGGUGAUAACAAUGGUGAAAGUCUAAUUCUACUUGUGCUCUUUUGAGGGGAUACAUACCUUUCUUGCUCUUUGAAACUUUUGAGGAGAAUGAGAUGCUCUAUAUUUUCUUUUUCUUUCCUCACAGGUGGGUAUCUUGUACCCCUAAUUCUACUGUCGGACACUUGUCCAUUUUUACCUCUUGUCUCACUUUUUCUUUUCUUUCGAGGUUCCGGGCACUUGCCCCUUUUUAUUCCCUUGUAUUUCUUUUUCUCUCUUUUUUUAGAGCACUCAUCUCCUGAAAUAAUAUAGCAAAUGGUAGUAACCAAGAUAACUCGAGCAUUUAUUUCACAGAUAAAAACAGAAAUGUUUUUGGCUAUUCUCUCCCGGAUUAGGAGUAGAAUAUUUUUAGGUGGUUCUGCAGAUAGAAAUGAGUGGAUAUAUGUGGAUGCCUACUUCCGGAGUAGAAGCAGCAUGUGUGAGUGAACGUGCAAGUGAAUCUUGAUUUAACCACAUGACAAGCUCCUAAGGGUCUAUACAGCUUGACCACACUCAAUGCUCAUAAGCAGUAUAAAAAGUAAAUGUGUGGCUCAAAGUCUAGCAAGCAUGUAUAUAUAUGGCUGUGGUAGGAAUUUAAACUUUCAUCAUACAGGAACUCAUCAUGUCAUAUUUUAAAGAUUUUUAAAGAUAAAAUUCUCCAGAAUUCUAGCAUCUCUAAGAACAGAUAAACAGCAGCUCAACCUUCUCAUACCAUAUCCGUUAACAACUUAGACUUAAGAUCAAGUUCUCUUCCCACAAGUUCAGGUUUAGAGCAAGCUUUAAAUUAUAACAGUUAUGUCUAAACUAGAGAGAACUUCAAAUUUGAAAAUUAGAUAGAGCAACUAUUCAUCAUAUCCAUGCUAGAGUUUUAUUAUUAAGAUUCAGUUUAGCAUAGCCACUUUAUUUAUUUAUUAAGCAUACUAAGCAAAGG
RNAcentral lists this long non-coding RNA (10002 nucleotides) under Sorghum bicolor (sorghum). RNAcentral describes it as "long non-coding RNA (SBIC_LNC005220)". The record is from RNAcentral. Lineage: Eukaryota; Viridiplantae; Streptophyta; Magnoliopsida; Poales; Poaceae.